This is a long non-coding RNA of Manis pentadactyla (Chinese pangolin), 1156 nucleotides long. RefSeq lists it as uncharacterized. Lineage: Eukaryota; Metazoa; Chordata; Mammalia; Pholidota; Manidae. The transcript has 8 exons. The record is from RefSeq and is a predicted model, not a curated record.
AGAGCAGCACAGUUACGGAGUGAGAGCGGAAGCUGGGCGGCUGCCCGCACAGCAGGACAGCCCUCGGGUGCAGUGCCCUGGGCUGGACAGGCCCCAGUGGCUAGCAGGGAAACACGUUCGCCUCCCUCCUCCCCAGUGCUCCUCUCCUGCACCUGUUCCUGGCUUCCCCCUCAGAACAAGCGAGGUUUGGCAUCUCCUGUGACACCCGGCCCUCACAGACUCAUCUCACCUAGCACGCAACUCUCCUGGAUGUUUGCAUUUUCAAGAUAUAUUACUGAGUAGUGAAGACCCACUUCAGUUCUUGUCAAUGGAAUUGCAAGAAAAUUCAGGAUUGUUCAAAUAGAAACACCAAAGUUGCUGCUUAAGGCCCAUGACUCUAUGGCCUGGAUACCAAAAAUUUGAGGCUCCAGUUUGCCGCCUCUGCAUUAGACUGUUUGUUUUCCCUGCCCCAGCCCCACAUGGCCUCGGCACCAAUUCCUCCGCCACCCCUCCAAGGACUGCAAGUGGGACCGGCUCCUGCUGCUGAUGCUGACUCACCUUGGAUCCACACCUUCCCAGCUGUUUAUCUCAGGGAAACUGAGGCCGACCCUGCCAAGGGACUCAGCCACAUUACUCGGGAAGUCCGGAGCAGCGCUGACAAUGGACACCGGAAGUGAAAAGUCCUCAUCCCCAGCAUGCUGCCCUCCGCCCAGACCAUGCCUGCCUCAGUGGGGAGGAAGUCAGGGAUGUUAAAGGGCAACUCUUCAGCUGGAAGUCCCAGCCAAAAGCAAUGAGGACACAGAGCAUGAUAAGGAAGGUGCAGGUUAGAUCCUCUCUCAGGAGCCUGGCCAAACCUGGUGAAGGGAAGCUAAAGAGGUGACUACAAAUGGAAAUGAACGUCCUGCUGAAAAGAAUUCAGAGUGAGUUUAUCAGGGACACCAUGGCCAGCGGGAGAGAUGGAUCACCAGUGUUGUUCCUGGGAGACCAGAAGUGUCCUAGAUAGGAGCUGUCCUACCUCCCUAGAUCCCAGAGUGAAGAAAUGUGCAGCCAAUCCACAAUGGACACAUAGCAUGAAUAGAGCCGACGCUGGGAGCUGCCAUCCUGAGGGGCCUCUAAGAGGCCCUCCUGCCCAGAGUAUCAGGCAGACAUGGGAACUCCUGCUGCUCACUUACUUUAU